CUGCGAAGACGUGGAUGAAGGAAGCUUAAGGCGAAGUUUGGAGGAUACGAACAGAAAGCGGAUACAAGGCCUACUCGCGGGUAAAUCAGCAUUAGAUGAUAACGCCCUAAUCCUAACCGUAGCGAGGUGGUAAAUCCGCAUCCCGCCAAGCGAAAGAA
RNAcentral lists this non-coding RNA (158 nucleotides) under pig gut metagenome. The record is from RNAcentral.